Molecule: ribosomal RNA, 444 nt
Filed under: uncultured bacterium
Lineage: Bacteria
Description: partial 16S ribosomal RNA
Rfam family: Bacterial small subunit ribosomal RNA
Source: RNAcentral
CCUACGGGUGGCAGCAGUGAGGAAUAUUGGUCAAUGGGCGCGAGCCUGAACCAGCCAAGUAGCGUGAAGGAUGACUGCCCUACGGGUUGUAAACUUCUUUUGUCAGGGAAGAAGAAAGUGACGGUACCUGACGAAUAAGCUACGGCUAACUACGUGCCAGCAGCCGCGGUAAUACGGAGGUGGCAAGCGUUAUCCGGAUUUACUGGGUGUAAAGGGCGUGUAGGCGGGACUGCAAGUCAGAUGUGAAAUUCCAGGGCUCAACCCUGGAACUGCAUUUGAAACUGUAGUUCUUGAGUGAUGGUGAGGCAGGCGGAAUUCCGUGUGUAGCGGUGAAAUGCGUAGAUAUACGGAGGAACACCAGUGGCGAAGGCGGCCUGCUGGACAUUAACUGACGCUGAGGCGCGAAAGCGUGGGGAGCAAACAGGAUUAGAUACCCGGGUAGUC